AGAAACUAACAAGGAUUCCCUCAGUAACGGCGAGUGAAGCGGGAAAAGCCCAAAUUUGAAAUCUCUGUGUGAGAGCACAGCGAAUUGUAGUUUAGAAGUGUGAUCAGGCGAAAUCGGAAAGUCCAAGUUUCUUUGGGACAAGACAUCAAAGAGGGUGAGAAUCCCGUAGGACUUGAACGACUAGCCAACUACGAGGCACUUUCGAAGAGUCAGGUUGUUUGGGAAUGCAGCCUAAAAAGGGUGGUAAAUUUCAUCUAAGGCUAAAUAUUGGCACGAGACCGAUAGCGAACAAGUACCGUGAGGGAAAGAUGAAAAGUAACGUUGAAAAAGGGGUUAAAAAGUACGUGAAACCGUUAAAAGGGAAACGAUUGGAGCUAGCAGUGCUUGUGUCGUGAUCAGUGUGGUUGGAGACAACCCAUGUACUCAUGGCAAGUUUGAGCAGGUCAACAUGGGUUUGGAAACGCCAGAGAAGCUUGUUGGAGCGCGCCUCACGGCGGGGCCUUCAAGAUCAAAGUGGCGAGCCGGACCGAGGAGAAAUAAAAUCAAGCGGUGUGUAAAUUGGGCCUGAGGGGGCGCUUCUUGUGAAUUUUUUUUUUUCGAGCAGGACAAACGCAAGUUUGUGUUGUUUGAGGUUCAUGGGAACGAGUCCCCAAGAGCAACCGAAACACGGCCAAAGAUGUUGACGAAAUGGCUUCAACCGACCCGUCUAGAAACACGGACCAAGGAGUCUAACAUGUACGCGAGUCUUUGGGUGUGAAAACCCGUGGGCGUAAUGAAAGUAAUCGGUGAGAUCUUCGGCGCAUCAUCGACCGAUCUGGAUUGUAAAUUUUUGAAAGAUUUGAGUAAGAGCGUAAAUGUUGGGACCCGAAAGAUGGUGAACUAUGCCUGACUAGGGUGAAGUCAGAGGAAACUCUGAUGGAGGCUCGUAGCGGUUCUAACGUGCAAAUUGAUCGUCAAAGUUGGGUAUAGGGGCGAAAGACUAAUCGAACCAUCUAGUAGCUGGUUCCCACCGAAGUUUCCCUCAGGAUAGCUGAAACUUAAUUACGAAAGCAGUUUUAUCAGGUAAAGCGAAUGAUUAGAGGCCUUGGGGAAGCAAUUUCCUCAACCUAUUCUCAAACUUUAAAUAGGUAAGAAGUCCGACUUACUCAAGUGAAGCCGGGCACUGAAUGCGAGUUUCAAGUGGGCCAUUUUUGGUAAGCAGAACUGGCGAUGCGGGAUGAACCGAACGCGGAGUUAAGGUGCCGAAAUCAACGCUCAUCAGAUACCACAAAAGGUGUUGGUUGAUUAAGACAGCAGGACGGUGGCCAUGGAAGUCGGAAUCCGCUAAGGAGUGUGUAACAACUCACCUGCCGAAUCAACUAGCCCUGAAAAUGGAUGGCGCUUAAGCGUUGUACCUAUACUCUGCCGCUGGGGCAAAUGCGAGGCCCCAGCGAGUAGGUGGGCGUGGAGGUUGUGACGAAGCCUUGGGCGUGAGCCUGGGUCGAACGGCCUCUAGUGCAGAUCUUGGUGACAGUAGCAAAUAUUCAAAUGAGAACUUUGAAGACUGAAGUGGAGAAAGGUUCCGUGCGAACAGCAGUUGGGCACGGGUUAGUCGGUCCUAAGAGAUAGGGAA
This 1612-nucleotide ribosomal RNA is filed under the name Hartaetosiga balthica. RNAcentral's name for it is "eukaryotic LSU rRNA". It matches the Rfam family "Eukaryotic large subunit ribosomal RNA", at positions 60 to 1559 of the family's 3401-position model. The record is from RNAcentral. Lineage: Eukaryota; Choanoflagellata; Craspedida; Salpingoecidae.